This 481-nucleotide ribosomal RNA is filed under the name uncultured bacterium. Its description in RNAcentral is "partial 16S ribosomal RNA". It matches the Rfam family "Bacterial small subunit ribosomal RNA", at positions 355 to 829 of the family's 1533-position model. The record is from RNAcentral.
UGGGGAAUUUUGGACAAUGGGCGAAAGCCUGAUCCAGCAAUGCCGCGUGUGUGAAGAAGGCCUUCGGGUUGUAAAGCACUUUUGUCCGGAAAGAAAUCCUUGGCUCUAAUACAGUCGGGGGAUGACGGUACCGGAAGAAUAAGCACCGGCUAACUACGUGCCAGCAGCCGCGGUAAUACGUAGGGUGCAAGCGUUAAUCGGAAUUACUGGGCGUAAAGCGUGCGCAGGCGGUUUGCUAAGACCGAUGUGAAAUCCCCGGGCUCAACCUGGGAACUGCAUUGGUGACUGGCAGGCUAGAGUAUGGCAGAGGGGGGUAGAAUUCCACGUNUAGCAGUGAAAUGCGUAGAGAUGUGGAGGAAUACCGAUGGCGAAGGCAGCCCCCUGGGCAAUACUGACGCUCAUGCACGAAAGCGUGGGGAGCAAACAGGAUUAGAUACCCUGGUAGUCCACGCCCUAAACGAUGUCAACUAGUUGUUGGGGA